This 1437-nucleotide ribosomal RNA is filed under the name Triticum aestivum (bread wheat). RNAcentral's name for it is "partial small subunit ribosomal RNA". Lineage: Eukaryota; Viridiplantae; Streptophyta; Magnoliopsida; Poales; Poaceae. The record is from RNAcentral.
GCACACGCACUACCGUUGACUGCAGCUCCCGGGCACGGUGGCCCGACACCCCCUCGCUUCGCCAAACUGGACUUCGCCACUUACGACGGCACGGAGGACCCCCUUAACUGGCUCAACCAGUGCGAGCAGUUCUUUCGAGGGCAGCGGACGCUCGCUUCGGAUCGUACCUGGCUCGCGUCCUAUCAUCUCCGAGGCGCGGCGCAGACUUGGUACUAUGCCCUCGAGCAGGACGAGGGCGGCAUGCCACCAUGGGAGCGCUUCCGGGAGCUUUGUCUCCUCCGGUUCGGGCCUUCUAUCCGCGGGAGCCGACUAGCGGCCCUCGGCCGCUUGCCUUUCACAUCCACGGUGCAGGACUACGCCGACCGCUUCCAGGCCCUGGCAUGCCAUGCGCCGGGCGUCUCCGCGACUCAGCGCGCCGAGUUAUUUGUGGGCGGAUUACCGGACCAUAUUCGCGUGGACGUCGAGCUCCGGGAUCCCCCCGACCUCCAGACGGCCAUGUACUACGCCCGGGCCUUCGAACAGCGGGCUCAGGCGCUGCAGCAACCGGCCGGCCGGGGCGGCCGCCAUCCCAGUCGACCCGCGCCGACUCCACCAUCACCGGGCCGGCUUCUUCCAGCCACGACGACCGCACCUCAGGCCACCACCCGGACCUUCCGUCGGUUGUCACCAGCCGAGCAGCAGGAGCGUCGCCGUCAGGGCCUCUGCUUCAACUGUGAUGAGCCCUACACGCCGACCCAUGUCUGCCCCCGCCUAUUUUACUUGGAGACGGUCGACUACACCGAGGCGGACGACUCGACCGACGAGCCACCAACCGCGGCGGCCGCGGAUUCCACGGCGACGGCGUGCGUCGUCUCCCUCCACGCUCUCGCCGGCAUCCGUGGCGAACGGACCAUGUUGUUACCGGUGACAGUCCAUGGCGAGCGGCUGGUGGCCCUGCUGGAUACUGGCUCCACCCAUAACUUCCUGCCCGCGGCGACCAUGCGUCGGCUAGCACUGCCGACCACGGGCGGGGAGCGCCUGCGGAUCACGGUGGCAAACGGCGAUCGCCUCCGGUGCCAUGGGCUCGCCCGCGACGUUCCCAUCUCCAUCGGUGGCGAGCACUUCUCCAUUACAUGUGCAGGCAUCGACCUCGGCUGCUUCGACUUCAUCCUCGGGGUGGAUUUUCUCCGGACCCUCGGGCCCAUCCUGUGGGACUUCGACGCACUCUCGAUGACGUUCUGGCGGCUGGGCUGCCGCAUCCGGUGGGACGGCCUUGGGGGCGCCGCGCCAGCCGUGCCACACCUCCAGCUGGCCGCCGCGUCCCAGGAGGCCGAGCACCCCCUGCUGGAUCCCCUUCUACAGCAGCACAGCGACCUCUUCGACGAGCCACGGGGUCUUCCACCCGCCCGGGUGUACGACCAUCAUAUUCACCUCGUACCGGGCUCCACCCCCGUGGCG